CAUAAGGUAUUUAUAUGUGGGGGAAGAGGGAGACAACUGGUAUUAAUAAUCUUUGAGAUUGAAAGGCUUUUACCCUGACACUGACACCGCAGUACCACAUAAGCCAUGUGGAUUUUCCUGUUGCUAAGUAACUCUAUCCUUUGGGAAGGGGUUGAGGAUGAAUUAAAUGCUGAAUUCUGCUCUGGAGCAAACUCUAAUAGAGAGGUUUCUCCUGGAGGAGCCUACUAUUUAUGCAAAUCCAAGAUGCCACCUCUGACAGGAAAUCUGAGUGCAGCCUUCUGCAGCCCUUGCAGCUUCCUUGAAACCCUAUCUCUUCCUUCAUGUCUAGACAACAGGAUGAUGAUUGUUUACAAGAUGACUUCCUCCCUUUUCUCACACAGGACUACGUGGUCCUUAAACAGGAACAGGUGGCGGGGAUUGGGGGCUAGCUGCAGAAUGUCCUUCUCUCAUUUUUUCCCUCAUCCUAUGGGAGGGCAACCAAUAAACCAGCACAGACACACAGGCCCAGUGGGACAGGAGGAUCAUUUACUCAGCUUCUUUCUUCUAGGGCUGGAUGGGGCAGCAUCUCAAUCAUAUAGGGCACAGGACAGACCUCAGUAUCACCAGCAAGAAUCCAUUACAGUUCAACAUGUAGUACCUCCAGACCUUUUCCCUGUGCCCCUGGACUCCAAGGUCUAUCCCACCCUCAGCUGUCCAUCUUCUAGAGCAGGCGGUCUAGCCUCCCCAAACCAGAAGAACUUCCUUUUUAUAUUCAACCACCUGAUGGAUGUCCCUGAUCAGUUCCCUCAGCUGCAGAGCACAAGAAGGACCUUCAGGAUCCAGCUUUCUGUGA
RNAcentral lists this long non-coding RNA (832 nucleotides) under Homo sapiens (human). RNAcentral describes it as "non-protein coding lnc-ECSCR-1:1". The record is from RNAcentral. Lineage: Eukaryota; Metazoa; Chordata; Mammalia; Primates; Hominidae.